This 540-nucleotide ribosomal RNA is filed under the name Salmonella enterica. RNAcentral describes it as "partial 23S ribosomal RNA". It matches the Rfam family "Bacterial large subunit ribosomal RNA", at positions 711 to 1249 of the family's 2925-position model. The record is from RNAcentral. Lineage: Bacteria; Pseudomonadati; Pseudomonadota; Gammaproteobacteria; Enterobacterales; Enterobacteriaceae.
AGACCCGAAACCCGGUGAUCUAGCCAUGGGCAGGUUGAAGGUUGGGUAACACUAACUGGAGGACCGAACCGACUAAUGUUGAAAAAUUAGCGGAUGACCUGUGGCUGGGGGUGAAAGGCCAAUCAAACCGGGAGAUAGCUGGUUCUCCCCGAAAGCUAUUUAGGUAGCGCCUCGUGAAUUCAUCUCCGGGGGUAGAGCACUGUUUCGGCUAGGGGGCCAUCCCGGCUUACCAACCCGAUGCAAACUGCGAAUACCGGAGAAUGUUAUCACGGGAGACACACGGCGGGUGCUAACGUCCGUCGUGAAGAGGGAAACAACCCAGACCGCCAGCUAAGGUCCCAAAGUCAUGGUUAAGUGGGAAACGAUGUGGGAAGGCCCAGACAGCCAGGAUGUUGGCUUAGAAGCAGCCAUCAUUUAAAGAAAGCGUAAUAGCUCACUGGUCGAGUCGGCCUGCGCGGAAGAUGUAACGGGGCUAAACCAUGCACCGAAGCUGCGGCAGCGACACUAUGUGUUGUUGGGUAGGGGAGCGUUCUGUAAGCC